CCUACGGGAGGUCGCAGUGGGGAAUAUUGCCCUGUGGGCUAAAGCCUGACCCAGCCCCCCCGCGUGAGAGAUGAAGGCCUUCGGGUUGUAAAGCUCUGUCGGGAGGGAGGAAAGGAGCUAUCGUUGACGGGACCUCGCAAGAAAGCACCGGCUAACUCUGUGCCAGCAGCCGCGGUAAUACAGAGGGUGCAAGCGUUGCUCGGGUUUACUGGGCGUAAAGCGUACGCAGACGGUGAGAAAGGUCGAAUGUGAAAGCCCCGGGCUCAACCCGGGAACUGCAUCCGAAACCAUCUCGCUAGAGUAUGAGAGAGGGAAGCAGAAUUCCUGGUGUAGAGGUGAAAUUCGUAGAUAUCAGGAGGAAUACCUGCGGCGAAGGCGGCUUCCUGGCUCAUUACUGACGUUCAGGUACGAAAGCGUGGGUAGCAAACAGGAUUAGAUACCCUGGUAGUCCACGCUGUAAACGAUGUGUGCUGGAUGUCGGGGGUAUUCACCCCCUCGGUAUCGAAGCUAACGCGAUAAGCACACCGCCUGGGGAGUACGGCCGCAAGGUUGAAACUCAAAGGAAUUGACGGGGGCCCGCACAAGCGGUGGAGUAUGUGGUUUAAUUCGACGCAACGCGAAGAACCUUACCCAGCCUUGACAUCCCUGGAACCCGGUGGAAACACUGGGGUGUCCUCGCAAGAGGAAGCCAGGUGACAGGUGCUGCAUGGCUGUCGUCAGCUCGUGUCGUGAGAUGUUCGGUUAAGUCCGGCAACGAGCGCAACCCUUGCUUCCAGUUGCCAUCAUUAAGUUGGGAACUCUGGAGGGACUGCCGGCGCUAAGCCGGAGGAAGGUGGGGACGACGUCAAGUCAUCAUGGCCUUUAUGGCUGGGGCUACACACGUACUACAAUGACGACUACAGAGGGCUGCGAAGCGGCGACGUGAAGCAAAUCCCAAAAAAGUCGCCUCAGUUCGGUUUGGAGUCUGCAACUCGACUCCCAUGAAGUUGGAAUCGCUAGUAAUCGCGGAUCAGAACGCCGCGGGUGAAUACGUUCCCGGGCC
Molecule: ribosomal RNA, 1042 nt
Filed under: uncultured Nannocystis sp.
Lineage: Bacteria; Pseudomonadati; Myxococcota; Nannocystales; Nannocystaceae
Description: bacterial SSU rRNA
Rfam family: Bacterial small subunit ribosomal RNA
Source: RNAcentral